Molecule: long non-coding RNA, 1945 nt
Organism: Xenopus laevis (African clawed frog)
Lineage: Eukaryota; Metazoa; Chordata; Amphibia; Anura; Pipidae
Exons: 3
Source: RefSeq, a predicted model, not a curated record
CGAACUAGCCUAUCCGAUGGUCGAAGUACCCAAAAAAAACUUCGAAAUUCUAAUUUUUUUUUAGUUUGAAUCCUUUACUCGAGCUUAGUAAAUGUGCCCCCUCGGGUUGCCGGCCGGCCGGUAUAUUACAGGCUUUGCCGCUAAAAAUGAUGCUUGAUGCCAAUGUUAUUAGUAGGAAAAAAUGGCAAAACUAUAGGAAGGCCGGUAUUUCUUUGCAGAAAAGGUGUCAACCCGCUAUAAACCCACGGAUCUCUCUGACCACUGGAUUCAAACGGAACUCUUAUUAGCAGCUUGUUUAAUGAUAUAUAUGUACAGCGUGAAUACAAUUAAAUGAAUAGACUGGUUGGGGUGAAAAAGAGGAAUAAUAUAAUAUAUAAAACUCUACAAUCAAAUCACUGGCUGUUGAAUGAGUCGUUAUUAAAUGUGCCCAAUGACGGAUGAGGAAUUAGUGAAGGAUUCGCUCAGUGUGACUGACAAUUCAGUCGCCAUUACAUCUCCUACACCAGAGCCCUCACUAGUCCGCAGGUAGCCCCCGGCAACAAGAACUAUUACUGCCCCAUUUUGGUGUGAGCUGAAGUUAAACAUAGGAGUCCCUGAUGUAUCAAAGCUUAGUCAGGUAAUGUCAGUCAGACGCCAUUUUAUUGGCCUGAGAAUUGGAGGGAAUUCGUUUUAUACUUUCCCUCAAAUGCUCCUCAUAUAUCAGGACUGACACACGGGUGGGGAUGGGCGUAACUAGGAGACGAGAACUAUAUAUUUAUAUAUUUGUUUGGUUUCACUUGAAGCAACAGGUUUCAGUAACGUUGUAUAUGAGUCGGUGCCACCAUUUUAUUGGUGGGAUGGUCGCUACGUCACUAAGAUGCGAUUUCGGCGCGCAUAAAAGGCAGACGAUAACGGCCCUGUUGCAGGAUGUAGAAUUGUUUCAUGCUCACGUGGUUGAGGGAAAAGGCGGAGCGCGCUAUAUAUCUACCAAUUAUCUCUAGGGCAACCAAUAAAAUGGCGGCGCGCCUUCUAUAUCGUCACAAGUCUGAAGUAAAAGCGGUCAUUUCAUUGGGCCAGAGUGCUUGGGUUACGCUCAGCUCAGCCAAUUAUAUUGUCAGCCACCCAGUCCUUCCCCUAGAGGCGGAGCUUAAGGCUAGAACGGCGAUUGUGCUGAGAUGUGAGGGACUCACUGAGGAACAGACUGGGAAUUGUCCCCUGCUGCUCCCUGUAACUCCCUUCUACUGUGUCCCUGACAUUCCCAUCCCCUGUACUCACAUCUCCAGCCUCAUCUACUGGAGGAUGGAGAAAUCGCAAACCGGCACUGUCCCACGGCGUCCAAGGGGUCUCCGCCAUCUUCUUCCUUGUUCUUCUUCAUCUGCUGUACGUGCGCGCUGCUGUGGCUCUCUUCCGGGACCGACUUCCGGUUUCGUGACGUCACUUAGCAACCAAGGAAUCUUCAGAUGGCGUCGGUAGUGCGGCUUCAUUUCCCAGCUGCAUCUCCAAGGGAACGGACGUCUUUUGGCUGCUCUCUCUUCACUGCUGACAGGAACACGCUGCUGAAUCUUCACGCAGGACAGGAUCUCUGCUUCACUUUUGGGUCAUCUGAUCUGAGCUCACUGGGAUUUGAUCGCUUCUUCUGGAACACUUCACUCGGAUCACGUUACUUGGAUGUUUGUAAUGUGUUCCAGUGAACUUUAUGAAACCUGUCUUGUAACGAUCUAAGUACCCCCUGUUGUAAAAAAAAACUGUAUGAUAAAAUGUAGACCCCUGACCCUGUAUAUGCCAGCUGUAUGCACUAAUAAAAUUAGCAGACCCUGUAGCCCAAAGCACUUUGCAGACUCUAACAGCUGACCCCCCCAUAACGCUCUGUGCACUUAUAGUAACAGCUGACCCCCCCACAACGCUCUGUGCACUUAUAGUAACAGCUGACCCCCCCACAACGCUCUGUGCACUUAUAGUAACAGCU